AAAACAUGUAAGAUGGGAAAAUUUUGUAAUUUACUAAUAAACUGCUUACAAUGUGUAUAAUAUGUCUGACUGCGUGUGUAGCAUUGUGUACACAUAGUAGUGUGUGUAUACUGUCUGAAUGUGUGUAUAGUAGUGUGCGUAUAGGAAGGUGUCAUUGUCUAAGUUUGUGUAUAACAGUGUGCAUACUGUGUUUGAAUGUGUGUGUCAGUGUGUGUAUAUUGUGAGUUUGUGUGGCAGUGCAUUUCACUGUGUGUCUAGUGCAGGCAUAGGCAACCAUUGGAACUCCCUCUCCUAUUGGCCUAGGGCAGGCAUAGGCAACCUUCGACACUCCAGAUGUUUU
Non-coding RNA from Pelobates cultripes (western spadefoot toad), 340 nucleotides. The record is from the annotation of a GenBank genome assembly. Lineage: Eukaryota; Metazoa; Chordata; Amphibia; Anura; Pelobatidae.